AGGGUGAUAGCCAUGGUAUUCACAGGUCCCACUCCUACUUCAGGACAGGGGAUUAAACACAGGCAUUGCAGGGCAGAGUAUUGGAGGCCAGGCUAAAAUUCUGCCAACUACAGUCUGCCUGGUGUUUUUGGUUUUGUUUUGGAAAAACAAAAAAAAUUUUUUCUAACUUUCCCUUAGACCAUCUUUCAUAUCCACCUUUCAGUCCUGCAUUCAUAUCCAAGUUCUCUAACUCUUUUUUCAUUCAUGUCUUCCAAACCUUCUCCUGUGCCUCAUUUUGUUGACUUGUCAACUUGGCCCAAUAGGGGCACCUGCUUUUGGAGUGGUUGUGAUCUCCCAGCCAGAGGAUACGUGUGCUGCCUUUAGCACAGAGCCUAACACAAAAUAAGAACUCAGUAACCAUGUAUCUCCAGGCAUCAAGAAGGGCUCCUUGGCGCGUAGUGGCCUCAAGGAAGGCUCUCCUUGGACAAAGCUCAGCAACCACUUCCCACCCUCUAGGAUGGCCUUAAACAAAGCAGAAAAUAACAAGUGUUGCCAAGAAGGUGGAGAAAAUGAAACAGCAGACAUCAUUGGUGGGAUUGAGGAGAAUGGCUCAGCAGCUGAACCUCAAAGCAGUAACGUUACCAUGUGACCCAGCAGUUCCCCGGCUAGAUGUAUACCUCGGAGAACUAAAAUCACAUUCACUCAAAAACCUGCCCGCAAACCUCAGGCCAGCAGUAUCCAUAACAGUCAACAGUGGAAACAACCCAGAUAUCCACCAGCUGGAUGGAUUAACCAAACUUUUAAACAGAAGUCAUGUGUCACAUGUGUGACGAUCAGCAGCAAGAAUGUAGAAGAGGAGGUGGCUCCUGAGCACGAUGCCUUAAUUCAUAGCCAAGCCCUUCAGCUGAAAAAUAAGAACAGUGUUUCUGGCAGGGAAAGGUGACAUCUUUUUUUCUGUCUGACCUGGAGUCCUUUCCCCCUGCCCUUCCUCAGUCUUUUUAGGAUUAAUUGCUUAAAGUUUGCUGAUUAUCAUGCCAUUUGUAGCAACAUGGAUGGAACUAGAGCGUCUCAUACUGAGUGAAGUACGUCAGAAAGAGAAAGACAAAUACCAUAUGAUAUCACUUAUAUCUGGAAUCUCAUAUGGCACAGAUGAAGCUAUCUGCAGGAAAGAAACAAACUCAUGGGCUUGAAGAACAGACUCGUGGUUGCUGAGGGGGCGGAAGUGGGAUGGACAGGGAGUUUGGGGUUAAUAGAUGCAAACUAUUACAUUUUGAAUGGAUAAGCCGUGAGGUCCUGUUGUGUAAUAACACAGGGAAUUAUGUCCAGUGACUUGUGAUGGGACCUGAUGAAAGAUAAUCGGAGAAAAAGAAUGUAUGUAUAUAUAACGGGGUCACUUGGCUGUACAGCAGAAAUGGACAGAACAUUGUAAAUCAACUAUAAUAAAA
Molecule: long non-coding RNA, 1424 nt
Filed under: Sus scrofa (pig)
Lineage: Eukaryota; Metazoa; Chordata; Mammalia; Artiodactyla; Suidae
Description: lncRNA (ENSSSCG00050073476.1)
Source: RNAcentral